This 411-nucleotide ribosomal RNA is filed under the name uncultured bacterium. RNAcentral describes it as "bacterial SSU rRNA". It matches the Rfam family "Bacterial small subunit ribosomal RNA", at positions 355 to 794 of the family's 1533-position model. The record is from RNAcentral.
CAACGAAUCUUCCGCAAUGCACGAAAGUGUGACGGAGCAAUGCCGCGUGCGGGAUGAAGGGCUCCGCCGUGUAAACCGCUGCAGGACCUAGGCCGGUCCAGAGGAAGGGCCGGCUAAUCUCGUGCCAGCAGCCGCGGUAAUACGAGAGGCCCGAGCGUUACUCGGAAUCACUGGGCUUAAAGGGUGCGUAGGCGGAGGUGUAGGCGUCCUGUGAAAUCCCACGGCUCAACCGUGGAAUUGCGGGGCGAACCACACUUCUUGAACCUGGUAGGGGCUGUCGGAACGAUCGGUGGAGCGGUGAAAUGCGUAGAUAUCGAUCGGAACGCCGAAGGUGUAGACGGGCAGCUGGGCCAGUGUUGACGCUGAGGCACGAAAGCGUGGGGAUCAAACAGGAUUAGAUACCCUGGUAGU